Molecule: transfer RNA, 65 nt
Filed under: Amynthas masatakae
Lineage: Eukaryota; Metazoa; Annelida; Clitellata; Crassiclitellata; Megascolecidae
Description: tRNA-VAL
Source: RNAcentral
CGGGGUAUAGCAUAUAUAAUGCUUUUUACUUACACUAAAAAUAAAGUUAAAUUUACUUGCCUCGC